UACGUAGGGAGCGAGCGUUGUCCGGAUUUAUUGGGCGUAAAGCGCGCGUAGGCGGUUUUGUAAGUCGGGUGUGAAAACUCCAAGCUCAACUUGGAGCCUGCAUCCGAAACUGCGAUGACUUGAGUCUGGUAGGGGAACACGGAAUACCUGGUGUAGCGGUGAAAUGCUUAGAUAUCAGGUGGAACACCAGUGGCGAAGGCGGUGUUCUGGGCCAGUACUGACGCUGAUGCGCGAAAGCGUGGGGAGCGAACAGG
RNAcentral lists this ribosomal RNA (254 nucleotides) under uncultured bacterium. RNAcentral's name for it is "partial 16S ribosomal RNA". It matches the Rfam family "Bacterial small subunit ribosomal RNA", at positions 524 to 776 of the family's 1533-position model. The record is from RNAcentral.